UUUAUUUCACUCUUUAUUUAUUUAUUUUUUUUUUUUGGUUUUUUGACACAGGGUUUCUCUGUAUAGUCUUGGCUGUCCUGGAACUCACUCUGUAGACCAGGCUGGCCUCGAACUUAGAAAUCUGCCUGCCUCUGCCUCCCCGAGUGCUGGGAUUAAAGGUGUGCACCACCACGCCCGGCUCCUUUAUUUCACUCUUACAUCAACAAUACCUUACAAAGUUUUAGUUUUGUUUUCUCCUUUGACAUUUUGAAGUUGUAACUUCAUUAUUAUCUUAUGUACUGGUUGCUCCUGAGAGCCCAGUUUCUUUUGUUAUUAUUUGAGACAGGGUCUCACUGUAUAGCGCUGAACUGAAACUCAGGUUUGCCUCUCUUCUGAGUGUUGGAAUUAACAGUGUGAGCUACCUUGUCUUGCCAUGAGAACCCCAUUUCCAAUGUUAAUUAAUUAAUUAAUUAAUUUUUGGUGUUUUUUUUUUUUAAUUCUCCUGUCUUCUGGAAGCUUCCAUAUUUUCUGUUUCUGAUCUUCAGUGUAUUUUUCACUGCUUUUUCUGUCUUUUGUAUCUCACAACUCUACUCUUGGGUUAGCAGUUGUUGUGUGAACCUUUCCUGGGGAGAAACAGAUGUCUCUUUGCCCCAGUUCUGCCACCAGCAGUAGACCAAAACAGCAGUUCCAGUCGCGUCCAUGAGUUUAAUUAGGGUCCCUGCUUUAGUUUGCAUACCUAUUUCUGUGAGAAAAUACCCUGACAAAAGUGACUUAAGGGAGAGAGGGUUUCUCUUGACUCAUGGCUCCAAGUAGAGUCCACCAUGGUGAGGAAGUUGGAGCAUGGAGAGCUUGAGGGAGCUGGUCAGAUGGAAUCUACUGUCCCAGCUGUGUAAUGGCCCCACCCACAGUGGGCAAGUCUUCCCUCUUUAGUUAAUGCCAUCCAGAUAACCCCCAACAGGCAUUCCUAGAUGUCAGUUUCCCAGGUGCUCCUAGAUUAAGUCUCAUUGACAGUUAACACUAGACAUCACAAUUCCUUGCAGGAAUGGAAAGGUUAACUACAGGAGCAUGGGCACCUGAUGGGCAGCCAUACCACUGGAGGGGAAAACCUCUGCAUUAACUGUUCAUAAAUCUUGGGCACAGGGCUGGAGAGAUGGCUCAGUGGCUAAGAGCACUGGCUGAUGCUCUUCCAGAUAGACUGAGUUGAAUUCCCAGCAACCUCAUGGUGGCUCACAACCAUCUGUAAUAGGAUCUGAUGCCCUCUUCAGGCAUGUAGAUGUACAUACAGAUAGAACACUCAGGCACAUAAUAAAUGAAUACAUCUAAAAAACGAAACAAAAAAAAGGUAUGUGCCACAAUAAAUAUUGGUUGGGCCAAUAAAUACUUUAAAAAAAGACAAUCUUGGGGGGGUGGGUAUGGGAGACUUUUGGGAUAGCAUUGGAAAUGUAAAUGAGGAAAAUACCUAAUUUAAAAAAACAUUUA
This 1458-nucleotide long non-coding RNA is filed under the name Mus musculus (house mouse). RNAcentral describes it as "long non-coding RNA chr2:144395836-144397294". The record is from RNAcentral. Lineage: Eukaryota; Metazoa; Chordata; Mammalia; Rodentia; Muridae.